GAUGAAGAACGCAGCGAAAUGCGAUAAGUAGUGUGAAUUGCAGAAUUCAGUGAAUCAUCGAAUCUUUGAACGCACAUUGCGCCCCUUGGUAUCCCGAGGGGCAUGCCUGUUCGAGCGUCAUUUCACCACUCAAGCCUGGCUUGGUGUUGGGCGACGUCCUCUUUGGGGACGCGCCUCGAAACGCUCGGCGGCGUGGCACCGGCUUUAAGCGUAGCAGAAUCUUUCGCUUUGGAAGUCGGGGCCCCGUCUGCCGGAAGACCUGCUCGCAAGGUUGACCUCGGAUCAGGUAGGGUUACCCGCUGAACUUAAGCAUAUCAAUAAGCGGAGGA
RNAcentral lists this unclassified non-coding RNA (329 nucleotides) under soil metagenome. RNAcentral describes it as "partial contains 5.8S ribosomal RNA, internal transcribed spacer 2, and large subunit ribosomal RNA". The stretch from base 1 to 120 matches the Rfam family "5.8S ribosomal RNA", at positions 35 to 154 of the family's 154-position model. The record is from RNAcentral.